GCAGAUGUAGCUCAGUAGGCAAGAGCGUUUCGCAAAUAUGAAAAUGUCGCUGGUUCAAGUCCAGCCGUCUGCG
Molecule: transfer RNA, 73 nt
Filed under: Siphoviridae sp. ctss15
Lineage: Duplodnaviria; Heunggongvirae; Uroviricota; Caudoviricetes
Description: tRNA-OTHER
Rfam family: tRNA
About the family: Transfer RNA (tRNA) molecules are approximately 80 nucleotides in length. Their secondary structure includes four short double-helical elements and three loops (D, anti-codon, and T loops).
Source: RNAcentral